UGCAGGUGAAUGGGUGUGUAAAAGCAAAUAUGCAUCAGACUGACAAAGAAAAGAGUGUUAAACGAUUUUUAAUUUAGAACUUUAACUUUAUGUGCAAAACUGAACUUACUGAUAACACACACUAGUCAUUCGAACACAUGUAACUGUAAUGAACCAAAUAAAACAGAAACAUGCAGGCAGCACUCAUUAUACCGUGUAUAACGCAGCAUGGGGUUGUAUUUUUUUCUUUUCAGAUGCUCCUGUCACUCCAUUUCCCAGGUCAUCAUAGCACUCCCACACACACGGAGCUCUCCUGCAGUAUGCAGUGUAAUGGCCCAAACCAUCAGUGGUCAUCUUUCCGUGGAAAGCAAUUAAUGCCCUCAAAGUGAACGACUUUCCUUGGAGAACCAGGUUGGAGGGAAAUUCGUUCAGUGGAAAUUCUGUUUGGUUUGCAAGAGAUGGAUUGGAGAGUGGCCUGAGGCAGGUAGACUCAGGUAGGCCAAGUCCUGCUUCCACAGCAGUGCCAAGAUGAGCCAUAUCAGACUCUUUGAGGACAGAGAUGGCAGGAGAAACAAAUGGCACUUCCCUUGUCAUCCCUUUGCUGAGGUUUGUUGGGUCACACCAUCUGUGGCAAUGGCUUUCACCAGCUGCAGGACUGGGUUUUCACUGUCUUUCAGAACAGCAUUUUGAAAUGUUGAGCUGUCACAGAAGGCACAACAUAAGCACUGAAAAAAUGCAUCAAAAGCACAGUUUCAUCUGCAUGGAGCCAUUCGGUACAUGAAGAGAGGUAGGAAGUUCUCUUCCUUUUUUUGGGUGGAACAGCUAGGCCCCUCCCGUUCUCAACUGGAUCCCCAUCAGCCGGAAGAAUGUUUGUGGCAGCAUCAGAUCCCACAAACGGAACAAAUCCGCAUAUUUCCCUCGAUGAAGGAAAGAUGACGAGCAAUGAAGCGAUCGACUCGAACAGUGUCGCAGGUCUGUCUGGAUCUCAUCCACUGAAUCCACUCUCUCACUUUCCUCCGUCUGUUCAUCUGGAAUGAUGAUGGAGUCUUGAGCAAUUUGGGCUUUCAGGCAGUCCCACUGGCAUAUCAUCUUGAUGCAGUGCGCAACAUCAACCCUGAUAAAACAUGGGGGGAGUUUGGCAGACUGGGUUCCAAGAAGGACAUGAAAGCAUUCAUUAAGAGUGGCCAAAUUUGGAAGGUGGCUUGGCUCAGGAUCUCCAACAUCCAUCAGAUCUGCUGCCUUCGCUGACCUCCAUACAGCCGGUUCCAUUCUGCCCUCACACAGCUCUUUAGAGAUCUGUUCACGCAGGUUUCCAGACAUGAACCGCUUGGAGUGGCCAGUGUGCAGGGAGAGAUCUGUAUUUCUCAUGAAACACUGAAGCACCAUUGGACUAUUAAUUGCUGGCUGUCUGUCACAUGACAUUUCUAACUGGCCAUGACACUCCUUACAGUCGCCUCUGAUGUCCAGAUAAUUAUUGUUGACAGUUGGAUGGACCUUUGCUCUUCGGAACACAAGUGUACAUGUAUUUUUGAUCUUCUUCCAUAUAAGAUCGUUGAUGAUAUGAGUCCAAGUGCCAGGUUUCAAAAUUGUGUAUUCCCUUUUUUGGGUAGGAGAAAACUUGUCAUUGUAUUCAACCGUUUCAGGAAUAAAUUUAACCCAGUCCUCAAAAGGGACUUCUAGUUCAAAAGCUUGACAGUUUUCUUGUCCAGGAGAAAUGCAAUGUGAAUCUAACUCUCCUUCACUAUUACUUUCCUGAUCACCAGACAGUUAGCUAUAUCAUGUAUUAACUCAGUAACUAAAACCUCAGUAUUUUAAAUGUAAGCUUACCUUGUUCAGAAACCAGAUGUAACACGCUGUUCUAAGAAUCCUUCAGACACAGUAAAGCCAAAUAAUAGUUUUUUCUGCCAGAAAAUGUGUAUUUGAUGCAAAAGACUGCUAGCUUGUUUGUCUCUCAAAAAGUGUUCAUGGGAGUGUAAAAUGUUCAAAUGUAGUUUUCAAUAAAGUUUUUUUAAUCCACCUUAAGAAAAAUAGUCAAGCAUUUGCAUCGUAGUUUUAUGAACAAAAAGUGAUUGAAGUAAAGAAAUUGAAGUUAAAAAAAUACACUCAUUACAAAUUUAGCUGAUUAAAUACAACAAGAGGUUUUUUUUAACAGAACUUUAUUGAACAAGACAUUUUUCAGCAGUAACACCAUAACAGAAUAUCUCAUAUCAUAGCAGCACAAACGCUAAUUUCACCUGCACAAAUCAGCACAAACGUAGCACUAAAAAAGUAGGCCAUUUUGGCCCGUUUUGGAGCAGUCUGGGGGGAUGGUGACCUUUGAAUGACCUAUAAAAUAAUGUUUAAUAUCUCAAAAACCGUAGCAGCACAAACGCUAAUUUUAACUGCACGAAUCUGCACAAACGUAGCACUAACCGCUCCGCCUUUACGUUUCAAGUGGGUGGGGGGUCAGCUUCACUCUGUUUUUAUAGGUGAUCCUCACUUGUGUGCACGUGCAUGUAGGUGAACGCUCACGGCAUGACGUCACACAGCUCAGUUCCUUUCUGCUUUGAUCUUGCAGCACGUGACCUCCACUCGAGUCCUCAAAUAGGGGUGAAACGUAUCACUAAACAAUUUUCAAAGCUAUCUUUAACUAAGACAGAGCAAAGAGACACAUAUUGAAAAAUAAUGACCAAUCAAACAGGUAGGAGUGGUCCGGGAAUCCCAAUAGACAAGGAAGAAAACAGAGAAAUAUACAGAGUUAGGUUGGAAAACUGUAUGGAAAACCAAGUUAGGCGAGUGGUAAAAAAAUCAGGCGAAGUCAUCAGUGAGGAAAAAGUCGAAGCCAUUUACAAGAGGCUUACCAAUAAAAUCUGGGCUGAAGUCGAGGAUCAAUUUGAUGAGAUUCUUAUAGUGGACUUCAACAAGCUCUACAACAUGAUUUUCAAAGCCCUGUGUGAAAAGUGGAAAAGUGCAGAAACAGUGCUGCUAAUAAUGAAAUUAAAUCUUCCACUUAUUGACAACACAAUUGUGGUAACCUUUAUAGAAGAGGCAGCCAAACUAAUGAUAAGAAAUCAAAGAAACGCAUAUUCAAAAACAACAGAAACCAACACAGGCAGGAGUGAUCCAGGAAUUCCAAUAGACAAGAAAGAAAGCAGCAGAAAUGACAGAUUUAGGUUGGAAAAGUGUAUGGCAGUCCUGGUUAAGCGAUUGGUUAGAAAAUCAGGUGGAGUCAUCAGUUUGGAAGAAGUUAAAGCCAUCUGCAAGAGGCUUACCAGCAAAAUCUGGGCUGAAAUGGAGGAUCAACUUCAUGUAAAUCUCUUAAUAGAGUCUGACAGGCUCCCAGAGAUGAUUUUCAACGGCCUUUGUAAAAAAUGGCAAAGUGCAGAAAUAGUGCUGCUAAUGAUGAAAUUAAAUCUCCCACUAAUUGACAACAUAAUUGUUGUAACUUUGAUAGAAGAGGCAGCCAAACUAACAAAGAGAGAGCAAAGAAGUGCAUAUUCAAAAACAAUAGCAGCAAACACAGGUAGGAGUGAUUCAGCUUUUAUUUCAGAGCCUAAAGAAAAUGUAAUGCCCGGAAAUGUGACAAAUACAGAAGAAAAAAGUCAUAAUCAUACUUGUAACGCUUGUAUUGACAGGAAAAACAUUUCAAUACAAAAUCAGAAAACAACAGAAACCGAAGAAACUGGAACUCCAAUAGAAGAGAAAAAACAGAGAGAGAAAAAGAGAUUAUAUUUGGAAAUGGGUAUGCAAUUCCUGGUUAGGCGAUUGGUUAGAAAAUCAGGUGAAGUCAUCAGUUUGCAAGAAGUUAAAGCCAUCUCCAUGAGGCUUACCAGCAAAAUCUGGGCUGAAAUGGAGGAUCAACUUCAUGUAAAUCUCUUAAUACAGUCUCACAGGCCCUUAAAGAUGAUUUGCAACGCCCUUUGUAAAAAGUGGCAAAGUGCAGAAACAGUGCUGCUAAUGAUGAAAUUAAAUCUCCCACUCAUCGACAACAUAAUUUUUGUAACUCUCAUAGAGGAAGCAGCCAAACUAUCCAAGAGACCAAGUCGCAUAAGUCGAUUUUUCUCAUUUGUAGGUCGACUUUUUUCCUCCUGUCUGUGCUGCAUGCAGAGUUCCAACACAGCUGACUGCGGUGUGGAACAACAAAUCAUUGUGUUUCAGAGCCUGAAAGAGGCUGAAAACAAGCCUGAAAACGAGAAAAGAAAUAGUAGUCAUGCGACUGUGUGUUCUUUCUGUAACUUUAAGAACUGUAACUGCUCUUUCAACGUUAAUGUCAAAUUGAGCAUCCCGAAACUAUUCAGUUUAGUGUAAUGCAGAGAAAGAGCUGCUGCUUUAAAGGCAGUACUGAUGACUAAAUUGUCAUCUUGAUUUUUUUUUCAAAUACCUCUUUUAAAAUCUUAAAGCAGUCUGGCCUCAGAGUUAACAUCAGAGGUAUAUUUUAUUUUAAAACUAUUUCAUUCGACUUUAAUUAGACUGAGAAAUAUUCUUCACCGUGUCUCUUCGUAUUAUCGUUACCAUCACCCCCCAACGGCCGAGGCAGACGGCCGUCCCUUCUGAGCCUGGUUCUGCCGGAGGUUUCUGCCUGUUACAGGUAGUUUUUCCUCCCCACUGUCGCCAAGUGCUUGCUCAUAAGGGAUUAUUCAUUAAUUGGGGUUUUCUUGCUGCUACUGUAGGGUCUCUAUCUUACAGUAUAAAGCAACUUGAGGAGACGGUUGUGAUUUGAUGCUAUAUUAAACAUCUUAAAUUCAACUGAAUCUUAAAAUGUAAUAUAGCAUCACAUCACCAUCAAAUCAAGAACUGAAAAAUAUAAAACAAAAUGAAAAUAAAAACCUAAAUUAAAAGCAGUUUGUGAUUUGUCUUGUGCUUUCAAAAUAUAUUGUCAAAUAUGAAAAGCUGCAUUUCUAUGCUCUGGUCAUUAGUACUGGUAUUUUAACCCUGGAGAACAAAUGGGGUCAGAUCCGACCCCAUUGGUUUUCUAGGGAACCCAUGGGGUCAAAUUUGACCCCAUGGGUUCUCCAGGGUUAAUGUAAGCAAACACAGGGAGCAUACACCGAUGUGGAAGUACUACAGAUGAAGAUGCAAAGAAACCAUGAAAUAAUUAAUGAAAUAGUGAAGUUUAUGAAUAAAAUAAACAACUGUAGCACCGUCUCAGUCUCGUCGAAUCGCCCCUCUGCCUCUUCUACUCUAGCAUCAACUCUUCUUAACCCUCGUCUAAUAUGCGCAUAUUGUUUGUUGUUGUCUUUCCUAAAGUCACGAAGCUCUUUCGGGAUGUUCAGGAGGCUGGGCUCGUCUGCAUCCGUGCCCUCUGUGGCUAACCUUAGCUCAGGAGAGUAGCUCCUAUCCACGUGGCUUUUCUCUGUCUCCUCUUCUGUCUGAGUUGUGCCUCUCAAACUUCUUGUGACUACCCCCGUUUCCAUAUUUAAAAGCAAUCUCACCUAUUAUCAGAAAGAUUACCGUAUCUUAUUGUAAGAGAAAUUUCUCCUACGUGUUUGGAGUCUCUACAGUAAGCAAAUGUGGUAAAGGGUGUGGCUGAUUCUGGGAUUGAUGCAGGAGGGCGACAGAAAUAAAAAGUAAAAUAUUAAAUUUUUGCUGUUAUUGACUUUGCUUUACAAUAUCAAACACUGAGCCAGAUGCACAAUAGUCAUGUACAUCACACGUAAACACAUUAAUGUAAAAAACACAGAGGUUAGGCCAUCAAAGUGUGUGUAAAAGAAGUGUUUAUGUCUGUCUUGCAGUUUCUGUUCCUGUCCGAGGUUUGCAGUGGAGAGCUCAGACCACACAGGACCCCGUCCUCUCCAAACCCUGCUCAGCUCUCUGGUACCAGCACACCCACGCACAACUGGCCACCUUAAAAAAUUGUACAGUUUUGAGCUCGAUAACCUGCAGGUGAAAAAUCUGUAGAUCAGUCAUCGCUCCUCUGUGGUGUUAAGAUGCUGAAUACAAGGGGAAUAAAAGUGGAUUAUAAUCGAUACCAAAACGGAUCUUUAUCCAUGGAAUCAGUAGCAUAAAAUCAGGAAUUUCAGGCUUCAUUAUCAUGGUUAAUUUAAGAAAAUAAAUAAAAAUAGGUGUGACCAUAUUUGACGAUUAUGAGCUAAUUCAAGCAAGUAGAAAACUGAAUAAUAAUUAUCCAUAACUGUGGAUGAACUGACCGUUAGAUGAACUGCAGUCUUUGUCCUUUGAGUGUGGCAGGUGGCUUCUUGAUGGCUCACACCGUUCCCCUCUCUCACCUCCUGCAGGGGGCAGUGUCCAGCUCUCUCACCUGUCUGCAGACGGCGGAGGGAGUGGCAGCUCUGCUGAUGGAGAGAGGCGGUGUGCAGGAAGGAGAUCACGUCGCUCUGGUGUACCCGCCAGGUGAGAGACAAUGCAGAUGUUAAAUGUACUUUUCAGGUGACAGCACCUGGACACUGCAAGCAUCGUUCACACCUGUGUGUCUCCUUCUGCAGGUAUAGACCUGAUCGCAGCCCUUUACGGCUGCCUGUACGCCGGCUGCGUUCCCAUCACAGUGCGACCGCCUCACCCUCAGAACAUCUCCACCACCCUGCCCACUGUUAAGAUGAUUGUCGAGGUCAGACUCUUAAUUUGUCUGUUAAACCGAUGCGGUUUCUCCUUCAGUCAGACCUCCAGGGCUCAAGCUCUCGCUCCCAGCUAAUUCCAGACUCGUACGGCUCUGGCUGACUUCUGAUUUCCUCUGGGGAAAAAAGGGAGGUUAAUUUCUUCUUCUGUCCUUCUCUUUCUAAUUGUGCAGGUGAGUCACUCGGCGUGUGUGAUGAUGACCACCGCCGUCAUCUGUAAGCUGCUGCGCUCCAAAGAGGCCAUGGCCACGAUGGACAUCAGGAACUGGCCCCCAGUCCUGGACACCGGUACAGCGUUUCAUUCAUAUCCGCACAGGGAAAUCACGCUCGCAUUAAGUACUUUAAUUUAACAUAAAUGCAGGUCGUGCACAGCCUCCUCACAAUGCAGUCCGAGUAGUUCUGGUUGCAGAUAUAAACCUAAAGAAUGCACAUUAAAUGAAAUCCUCUGCUGUGAUGAAACCUGCCUUUACAGCUCCAUCACUCUGUGAUUUAUCAAAAAAUAAAAACUUGCUGUAGCUGCAAGUCUGUGGAGUUUUUAAGUCUGUUGGUUCUCGUCUUUGGGAGAAGCAACCUGUCACUGAACAGACUGUUCUGGUUGUUUAUGGCCGUGUGCAGAGGAUGCCCAGCAUUGUCCAUAAUGUCCAUAAAAAUGUUAUAACAUGGGAACAUGCAUGCAAUAUAGUAUAAAUAAUAAAAACAAAGCUUAUACAAUUUUAGAAAAGCUUGAAAGUCAUUAUUUGGUGUGAUUCCUUAUACUUCCGCUUAAAAGACUACCACUACCACUUAAAAUACAUUCUGUGUUAGGAAAAGGGUAAGAUUUGAUAUACAUGCAGCUGUAGUUACAUGCAGCUGUAGUUACAUGCAGCUGUAGUUACAUGCACCUGUAGUGGAAGGAACAGUUUAAAUAUACUUUCAAAGAUGCUUUUUUAUCCUUUUUAAAGAACUCUUUUUAUUCAUAGCUGAUUGAGCUGUUUUUCUGCUUCUUUGUCAGACUCAUCUCUGACUGCCAAUCACCUGUGACACCAAACACAUCUUUAUUUUUCCAUUAUUACUGAUAAUAACCAAUAUAAAUAAGUGAUUCGUGUAGAUUCAAUGGUUUGUUUGUGACAUGUGGUUUUGUAUUUGACUGAUGUCAUUUAACCGCACCGUACAUUGGUCAAGUAUGUCUAAUAAUAAACAUACAACAUACAAUAAACAAAGAGGGAUCACAUUUGAAUCUCACUGACUAGGAAGCACACAGUGUUUGACAUUUCAUAUUAACUUUACUCUGAAAUAAUUUUAGCAUUUUUUUCAAGUCCCCAGUGUUUCCUGCUCCUUGGAGCACUCCUGGUUGUCUGCUAUGGUGGAGGUGGCCAAUGUCUGGAGACAAAUCGCUGUUCUGGGGAGCUGCUUUCCUCCACUUACUUUACAUCAGAGUAGAAAGCAUGGAAACAACCCUGAUGGAAAACAGAAACAGCAUCCAGGAAGUGGAAUAAAGAUUAAGCAGCCAAAUUCUAGCUCUGGUUCGAUGCUUACAUUUGGAGGACUCUAGACCACAAACUGAGAGAAACUCUGUGAAGAUGCAGAAACACAUCAAGUUUUGCAAACAAGCAUACUAUUUUUAUAGUUAACUAAACUUCUAGUUUAUUAGAGUUGAGUUCCUACUCGCAGACAACUGAAACAUUCACAUUUGGAAAGCUGACUGAAUAAAUUUUCGUUUGAUUAAUCUAAAGUUGUUCUUCUGUGUCUGAAAACACCCACUCCCACUUACUCAACCUGUGUUGUCGUCUGCUGCUGUGGCCUACAGUAGCAGAAGACAACACUGCAACUGUAACCAAACUGAUUACAGCAUUAUUUAAAAACCUUUAGUGAACUCAACGUUCAAGAUUUUUCAAGGAUCCACAGAAACUUUGAUUGUGUGCUAAAAAUGCUAGUAAAGCUGACAUCCAUCACGAACAACCCACAUCCUCCUCUGCAUGAGUCUGUGAGUGUGCUGAGCAGUUCCUCAUCAGAGACCAAAACAUCCUCACUGCAGGAAGGAGCGCUUUCACAGAUCAUUGAUCCCAACAGCAGUUAGACUAUAACUCCUCAAUCACGUUGUCAUGAGUCACUGGACAUUUACCUGGUGUGCACGUAUAUGUGUAUGUAUAUGUAUACAUGUGUAUAUUCAGUGUGUGUAUGUGUGUGUGUGUGUGUGUGUGUGUGCGCGUGUACAUGUCUAUACUUCUAGAUACUUUUAGAUAUCUAUUGCUUAAAUAGUAAUGAUACAAUAGUUAAAUUUAUUUCUUGCAUUUCCACAACACUCUAUCCAUAGUCACAUACUGUGUAUGCUACUGUUGUAUAUAGUGUACUAUCUUAUUUAUUUUGUGGUUGUUUAUAUUUUAGUCCUAUUUUCGUAUUUUCUGUAACCAUGGUUACGGGAGUUUGUUGCAAGAAGUGUUGUGAAUCUCGCUGAGACAGGGAACCACUGAGGAGCCUCAGAUUAACCAAUCAGUCAGAUCGCUGUCUCCACUUGGGUGGCUGUAGCUCAGGUGGUCAGCCACUACUCAGAAGGUUGGUGGUUCGAUCCCAGGCUGCCUCCUGGCUGCAUGCCAAAUAACCUUGGGCAAGAUACUAACCCAGGGGUCUGCAACCUUUUACACCCAAAGAGCCAUUUGACCCGGUUUCCACGCAAAAGAAAACACUGGGAGCCGCAAAUACUUUUUGACAUCUAAAAUGAAGAUAACACUGUAUAUAUUGUUUUUUACCUUUAUGCUUUGUGUGAACAACUCAGGUGUGUUGCUUAUGAAAAAUGAAGUGCUACAGAGAAAAUGUAAUUAUAUUUAUGUAAUCAACACAUUUUGAACUCUUAAAGAAAUAUAACAAAAGGAAAGACACCAACCUGAACUAAAAUGAUCCAGCAAACAAAAACUGUUGUCAGCCGCCACCCUUAUAUCGCCUUUGGGCUUUUGGAGCCUUGACCUGACUCUUAAAAAAUAAUUAGAAAAAAGCUCUAUGCUGCUAAAAGAUGAAAAAUAGAUUCUGCCUAAAUAUGUAUUUUACCUGGUUAAUGUGUGUGGCGGGGUGUGGUUUGCAGCGCCGCUGCAGGGGAGUCGAACGCACCUGAGCAGCACCCGCAAUCCUGCCUUUCCGCCUUAAAGUCUGUGCUCUCUCUGCUGUUGUGUUGUCGGGCUGUGAGCUGAAAAGCUACAGCCGGCUGUAUGUGUAGCCGCUAAACUGGUGACCUAAAUCUUCGCCACCACGUCUAUAUACAUACAAGCAUAAGGGGAGAGAGUGAAUCAGCGCUGGGAGUACGGACACUGGGCCGGCUUUAAACACACCAUUUAUUUUUUUAGAAGAACAGCCAGAAUCACAAGUAGGAGUUAAAAUCCCCACUAUACAAUAAAAAAAUAAAUGUUCCCAACCCACUAAAAAGCCCUGCCGGCAGAGAUUAAAAUACAAUUAAAAAAAUCAAAGCUAAAUGAAUGUCCUUUUUAUACGAUAAAACUUCCCCCCCAGAGUCCUCUAUUCCCAGUGUCCAACCACACACACUCGGGCAAAUGUUCCUUAGCUGAAAGACGCAGAAGGGGAGCUCCUCUUCCGGGAUGGGGAAAUCUCGCCAGCAGAAGGCCAG
Molecule: long non-coding RNA, 10119 nt
Organism: Oreochromis aureus
Lineage: Eukaryota; Metazoa; Chordata; Actinopteri; Cichliformes; Cichlidae
Source: Ensembl